AGAGUUUGAUUCUGGCUCAGAGCGAACGUUGGCGGCGUGCUUAACGCAUGCAAGUCGAGCGGGCUUAUUCGGGCAACUGGAUAAGUUAGCGGCGAACUGGUGAGUAACACGUAGGUAAUCUGCCGUAGAGUGGGGGAUAACCCAUGGAAACAUGGACUAAUACCGCAUAUACUCUUGACGCUAAAGCGUAGUAGAGGAAAGGAGCAAUCCGCUUUAUGAUGAGCCUGCGGCCUAUUAGCCUGUUGGUGAGAUAAAAGCCCACCAAAGCUACGAUAGGUAGCCGACCUGAGAGGGUGACCGGCCACAUUGGGACUGAGAUACGGCCCAGACUCCUACGGGAGGCAGCAGCUGAGAAUCUUCCACAAUGGACGAAAGUCUGAUGGAGCGACAUCGCGUGAGGGAUGAAGGCCUUCGGGUUGUAAACCUUGGAAAUUAUCGAAGAAUGAGUGACAGUAGAUAAUGUAAGCCUCGGCUAACUACGUGCCAGCAGCCGCGGUAAUACGUAGGUGGCAAACGUUGCUCGGAUUUACUGGGCGUAAAGGGUGAGUAGGCGGAACUAUAAGUCUAAGGUGAAAUAUCGAAGCUCAACUUCGGAGAUGCCUCGGAUACUGUGGUUCUUGGAUAUUGUAGGGGAUGAUGGAAUUCUCGGUGUAGCGGUGGAAUGUAUAGAUAUCGAGAAGAACACCUAUAGCGAAGGCAGUCAUCUGGGCAUUUAUCGACGCUGAAUCACGAAAGCUGGGGGAGCAAACAGGCUUAGAUACCCUGGUAGUCCCAGCCGUAAACG
Molecule: ribosomal RNA, 784 nt
Filed under: human gut metagenome
Description: bacterial SSU rRNA
Rfam family: Bacterial small subunit ribosomal RNA
Source: RNAcentral